Molecule: transfer RNA, 76 nt
Filed under: Candidatus Sumerlaeia bacterium
Lineage: Bacteria; Candidatus Sumerlaeota; Candidatus Sumerlaeia
Description: tRNA-Gln
Rfam family: tRNA
About the family: Transfer RNA (tRNA) molecules are approximately 80 nucleotides in length.
Source: RNAcentral
UGGGGAGUGGUGCAACUGGUAGCACAACGGCCUUUGGAGCCGUAUGUUCCAGGUUCGAGUCCUGGCUCCCCAGCCA